UAAAUUUCAAAUGACGUAAACUUAAAUAGAGUUCCAAACCUGUCAAGUUUCAGCGGACCAAUAACAAAAUUAAAAGCAAAGAAGCUUAAAGAGUUACUUCAAAUUUUCACUCAAAAACAUGUGAAUGAUGGGCUGACCAAUUGUAAAAAGUUCAAAUAUAAACUUUUCGAACAGCUCAAAUUCAUAACUUUAAUUGGGUUUAAAUGAUUUGGGAUAAUUUGGGCUUGUUUGAGUCUUAUUGGUAAUGGGUGAAUAAACCUUGUGUAUGGGCUGGAUUAGUUGAGUUGUUUUAAAUAUUUUGGAUUAUUUUAUUUUAGUUUGAGUCAAACCCCAUAUAGUCAAG
Molecule: long non-coding RNA, 343 nt
Filed under: Carica papaya (papaya)
Lineage: Eukaryota; Viridiplantae; Streptophyta; Magnoliopsida; Brassicales; Caricaceae
Description: long non-coding RNA (CPAP_LNC003184)
Source: RNAcentral